CCUACGGGUGGCAGCAGUGAGGAAUAUUGCGCAAUGGGGGAAACCCUGACGCAGCAACGCCGCGUGAGUGAGGAAGGUUUUCGGACCGUAAAGCUCUGUCGAGCGGGAAGAAGUGCAUGGUGGCUAAUAUCCAUUAUGCUUGACGGUACCGCUAAAGGAAGCACCGGCUAACUCCGUGCCAGCAGCCGCGGUAAUACGGGGGGUGCUAGCGUUGUUCGAAAUCGUUGGGCCGGCAGAGUAUGUAGGCGGCGAAAGCCCUGGGCUUAACCUAGGAAGUGCAUUUGAAACUGUUCAGCUUGAGUAAGGGAGAGGAAAGUGGAAUUCCUGGUGUAGAGGUGAAAUUCGUAGAUAUCAGGAGGAACACCGGUGGCGAAGGCGACUUUCUGGCCCUAUACUGACGCUGAGACGCGAGAGCGUGGGUAGCAAACAGGAUUAGAUACCCCGGUAGUC
RNAcentral lists this ribosomal RNA (450 nucleotides) under uncultured bacterium. RNAcentral's name for it is "partial 16S ribosomal RNA". It matches the Rfam family "Bacterial small subunit ribosomal RNA", at positions 338 to 795 of the family's 1533-position model. The record is from RNAcentral.